UGACACGGAAAGAACGGGACACCAGCACACACGCAAAGGACGGUUUUUAUUGGGGUCUGGUCGUAGGAGAGCAGUUUUGUACUGACCAACACACAGAAGCAGCUUAGCUGUGCCAAAAUAAUCCGUUAAAAAAAUACUGGCGGCAAGAACCGAGUGUGGCACACCCGCCACGACGGGGCUGUAAACUCCGGGACAGUCCGUGAGGAGCGAGGCCACAGCUCAUGGCACCCUCCUCCCCACAAUAAAUAUGGAAAGAGCCAAGUACAUAAAACAAGGAAUGAUCUCAUCGAUACAAUAUCUAAAGUUAUUUACAGAUCCUGGCUUUGCUUACCAUUAAUUAAUUACACAUUUUGGACAGGUUCUCUUUCGAUCAUUUCCUUCAUCGCGAGUAGCUGUUCGUGUGAAUCUGCUCCUUUUUGUUUUAAAGGACCUGGUGAGGCACUGGAAGUGCUCACAAAUCCCCUCUCCGAGGAUGCUCCUGCUUUAUUCUGUUUUUCACACACUUUUUUUUUUGUGCCAUCUCACCCACUGUCUGCUCUCUCCCUUUCCCUGAGGAGAUGCUACCCAACAGCAAAGCCUCUUCCCAGCCCAUCUCCUUUUCCAGCCUGGAAACACAGCGUGUCACACAAACCCAGAUCAACCUGGCCCCUGGACAAAGCCAUCUUCCUGCAGCUGUCCCCAGGUUCUCUGCCAAAAAAUCCCUGCCUGGACACACCCCAGGCCAGCAGCACUGUCCCCAGCACGGCACCUUUCCAGGGGUGACACUAAGGAGCCACAAUGCCACCAGCACUGCCAGCUCCCCCUUCCCUCCAGGCACAGCUUGGGCUACAGCUCACCCCAAAAUCCAGUGGGAUCAGAGAGGGAAACAGGGAAAAAAGGCAGAUAUUACUCCAGGGAGCACAGCAGGGAUCCCUCCCUGCCCCAGGCAGCCCCUCAGCGAGGAGAGAACUUCAGCAGCAGUGUGGCAAUGGAAAAUGCCACAUUUCACCCAGAAAUGCCACAGGGAUCGGCCCUGACCAGCAUAGACCCCCAGCCCCAGCACUGUGGAAACUGAGAGCACACAAUGUUACACCACAAGUACUCCUCAAACUGCACAGGCCAGGCUCACAACUGGAAUUAUUUUUAGGAACUGAGCGAACUGAUAACUUCAGGGCUAUUUCUGUACCGCACUGGGGACAGAGGUGCUGCCGUUGGCUCUGCAGAUGUGCCCAGAUGUGCCCAGCAGAAGCAGCUCCUGGAGAGAUGUGACACCAAGCAGGGUCCUGCCCUGGCCCUGGCUCCAGGACAGUGAUCUGGCACUGCUCCUGCCUCAGGAUCCUGCUUUAAGGACCAAGUGAUCCCCCUGGAUCACUCCAAACCCAUCUCCAAUGAGAAGAUUUUAGGUUCCUGAGCCCAGCCCUGUGUCCAGGCUCUGCCUCCACUCUCUCCUUCCCCUGGGAAUGACAGAGCUCUGCAAUUCCCUGAUGGAACUGAGCUGGAUCAAACACCAUGCUGACUCCAUGCCCCAAUUCAGGUCAUUAAUUCUCUUUAACUCAGCACAGAGUCCUGUGAAUAAACACUUGCUCUGGGAAUGCUGAGGGAUAAAG
Molecule: long non-coding RNA, 1586 nt
Organism: Zonotrichia albicollis (white-throated sparrow)
Lineage: Eukaryota; Metazoa; Chordata; Aves; Passeriformes; Passerellidae
Source: Ensembl